Molecule: non-coding RNA, 46 nt
Filed under: Schistosoma curassoni
Lineage: Eukaryota; Metazoa; Platyhelminthes; Trematoda; Strigeidida; Schistosomatidae
Source: RNAcentral
GCACUGCUGAAGAGUCUCACAAUAGAACGAAACGGCUGUUCAGUGC